RNAcentral lists this ribosomal RNA (459 nucleotides) under uncultured bacterium. RNAcentral's name for it is "partial 16S ribosomal RNA". It matches the Rfam family "Bacterial small subunit ribosomal RNA", at positions 338 to 795 of the family's 1533-position model. The record is from RNAcentral.
CCUACGGGUGGCAGCAGUGAGGAAUAUUGGUCAAUGGGCGCGAGCCUGAACCAGCCAAGUCGCGUGAGGGAGGACGGCCCUACGGGUUGUAAACCUCUUUUGCCGGGGAGCAACGGGCGUCACGUGUGGCGCCACUGAGAGUACCCGGAGAAAAAGCAUCGGCUAACUCCGUGCCAGCAGCCGCGGUAAUACGGAGGAUGCGAGCGUUCUCCGGUUUUAAUGGUGAAAGGGGUGCGACGGGGGAUCGGUAAGUCAGUGGUAAAAUGGAGGGGCUUAACCCCUUCCCGCCAUUGAAACUGGCGUUCUUGAGUGGAAGAGAGGUAUGCGGAAUGCGUGGUGUAGCGGUGAAAUGCAUAGAUAUCACGCAGAACCCCGAUUGCGAAGGCAGCAUGCCGGCUUCCGACUGACGCUGAAGCACGAAAGCGUGGGGAUCGAACAGGAUUAGAUACCCCAGUAGUC